This 1257-nucleotide ribosomal RNA is filed under the name Scopelengys tristis (Pacific blackchin). RNAcentral's name for it is "16S ribosomal RNA". It matches the Rfam family "Bacterial large subunit ribosomal RNA", at positions 667 to 2570 of the family's 2925-position model. The record is from RNAcentral. Lineage: Eukaryota; Metazoa; Chordata; Actinopteri; Myctophiformes; Neoscopelidae.
UUUAGCUAGCACAUCUAAGCAAAGAGACCUUUAGUUUAGACCCCCGAAACUAGACGAGCUACUUCAAGACAGCCUAUGUUGGGCGAACCCGUCUCUGUGGCAAAAGAGUGGGAAGAACUUCAAGUAGAGGUGACAAACCUAUCGAGCCUAGUUAUAGCUGGUUGCCUGAGAAAUGAAUAAAAGUUCAGCCUCCCGAACUCCUCCGUCCCACAAACAUCACUUUACCCACGACCCCAGGAUAAUCGAGAGAGUUAGUCAAAGGGGGUACAGCCCCUUUGAAAAAGGACACAACCUCACCGGGAGACUAAAGAUCACAGUAACUAAAGGAAGACUUGUUUAAGUGGGCCUAAAAGCAGCCACCUAAGAAGAAAGCGUUAAAGCUCAAACACCCCAGCCCCACCCUUAAUACCGAUAUUAACUCUAAACUCCCCGACCCCUACCAGGCCGUCCCAUACCUUAUGGAAAAGACCCUGCUAAAAUGAGUAAUAAGAGGGACCACCCCUCUCCAAUGCACAAGUGUACCUCGGAACGGACCUCCCGCCGACAACUAACGACCCCAGACUAAGAGGGCAGUGUAAAACCACACGAACACCUAGAAAACCCAACACAAAUAAUCGUUAACCCCACACAGGCGUGCAAGCCAGGAAAGACUAAAACAAAGGGAAGGAACUCGGCAAACACAAGCCUCGCCUGUUUACCAAAAACAUCGCCUCUUGCAAAAACAAAGAAUAAGAGGUCCCGCCUGCCCUGUGACUAUAUGUUUAACGGCCGCGGUAUUUUGACCGUGCGAAGGUAGCGCAAUCACUUGUCUUUUAAAUGGAGACCUGUAUGAAAGGCACCACGAGGGCUUGACUGUCUCCCCUUUAAAGUCAAUGAAAUUGAUCUCCCCGUGCAGAAGCGGGGAUAGCCUCGUAAGACGAGAAGACCCUAUGGAGCUUAAGACAUAAAGCGGCCCGCGUCAAACACCUCAAGUAAAAGAGCUGAACAAAGUGUGACCCCCGCCGAAAUGUCUUUGGUUGGGGCGACCGCGGGGAAAGAAAAAACCCCCACGUGGACCGGGACUACAUGUCCUAAAACCAAGACCCACAGAUCAAGGCAACAGAACCUCUGACCACUAAUAGAUCCGGCAACGCCGAUCAACGGACCGAGUUACCCUAGGGAUAACAGCGCAAUCCCCUCCCAGAGCCCAUAUCGACGAGGGGGUUUACGACCUCGAUGUUGGAUCAGGACAUCCUAAUGGUGCAACCGCUAUUAAGG